UCGGACGGCCAGAGUGGCGUGGUUCACCUGUUCCCUUUUCGAACACAGAUGUUAAAGGCGCUUACGUAUUGUCCUGUACCGUAUUUUAUAUGGGAACGGCAGUAAGCUGUCCACC
This 115-nucleotide ribosomal RNA is filed under the name archaeon. The record is from RNAcentral.